RNAcentral lists this long non-coding RNA (1657 nucleotides) under Calidris pugnax (ruff). Its description in RNAcentral is "lncRNA (ENSCPUG00000017335.1)". The record is from RNAcentral. Lineage: Eukaryota; Metazoa; Chordata; Aves; Charadriiformes; Scolopacidae.
AUGGGCAGACCUGUCCUACCUGUGCCAGACCCUCCAGGGACCUUCCUCCCUAAAUACACCCCCUUCCCUGCUCUGAUGGGGAGGGGGAGCCCAUGUGCCCUCCCUGGAGGUGCCUGGGGAUGGUCCCAGGUGCAAAGGGGUGGCGGGUGGCAACUACAGGGACAUGGGUUAGGGGGAUGGUGGGGUGGCACAAGGACCACACUGCACAGACAUGGAGGAUGGAAGCUGCUGGGGCCUGGCUUGCCCUGCAGUGGGAUGCAGAGUGGCUGGUGCACAGCCCAGGCAAGGGGAUAUGGCCCGGGGCAGCAGGGAUGGGAGGACUCAUCCUGGAUCCCUGUGGGGCAGGUGGGGUCUGGUGUCCCCAGAGCAGCACCCAAAGCACCCAAAGCACCCCCCCUCAGCCCUGCUGGCAGCGGCCCCCGCCCCACAGCCAGGUCUCGCCCAUCCCUCCAUGCCCCAUGGACUGGCAUGGACCAUGGCCGGUCGAUGAGGGCACUGAGCACACCCCUCUGGCCUUGCCAGAGAUGCCUGUGGAGGCACCCCAGGAUUUUGGGGGAGGCAGGGCUGUGCCCACAGGUGCAGGACAGGGGUUCACUGGCAGGGAGUGGGGCUGGGGCUGCAGGCGGCCCAGCAGAGCUGAGCUGCAUCGAUGUGGCCGGUAUGUGUGUGGGCGGCAGGCAGGGUGGGGGAGAAGGAGGGAGAGGAAGCGGCAGAGGCAGCAGCUCCUUUGAUAAGCAGCUUCCUGAACAAUUUCAAACCGUGGUGUUCGACCGACACGCGUGGUGCCUGCGGGCCUGUGCCGCGACCGACGGAACCCACGCCACAGGGCAGCAGGACCUGCCUGAGCUGAUGCAGUACCUGAAAUCCAACUCUUUGCCCACUGAGAGCUCUGACUCCACAGCAUGCCCUGUCUCUUUGGGUCCGUCUUCUCCUCAUGGAGGGAGCUGGGGAUGAGAAGGAGCCUCAUGAUCCCAAGGUGCUUCCUGCACCAUCAGGAGCUCUGCCCAGUGCAGAGUAUCACCCACAUCUCUCCAUCCCUGCCAGAGCCUGUCCCGGCAGUGCAGCCUUGGCAUCCUCCUCCAGCUGGGCUGCCUCAUCACUUCUUGCUCAGCCACCCAGAUAAAGCAGUUUCCUCUUGACAGUUGCUGAGACCUGGGGGAUGGAGGAGGCUGUCCCAGGCUCAUCUCUCCCUCUCUAGAGCGACGAGGUUGUUGAGGGUGCUUGGCCCCAUGUCUCUCAAGAGCAGGAGCUUGCCAGGCUCUUUGUGGUGCCUACAGCCCAAUGCUGCUGUGUUCAUGCAGGUCCCAACUCUCCCUCCUCCCCACUAUGCCCUCAAGCUGAAGCAGGCAUGCCAGGAAAGGGAUAGAAACACACGGCAGUGUGUGCUUCCCAUGGGGAUGGAGAGCAUCUUGGGCUCCCCCAAACCAGACUGUGCUCCAUGCAAACAGACGGUCGCUAAUGCCAUGCCCAGCGUCACCAGUGGAUGCCUGUAUGGGCUGCAGUGCUGUGGGCAUGCCAGAGGGUGAACCCAAUGGGAGUUCUCCCUGUGCCACCUGCCUGGAUGCAGGGCUGGGAAUCCUGGUUCCAGGACAGCUGAGGACAGCUGUCCCUUGCUUAGGGACAUCCCAUCUGCCAGGGGAUCCACCCAGCCUCUCAG